UGUGUGCGUUUGUUUGUGUCUGAUUUGAUCUGGUGCCUUUCGAGUCACCCUCCAUCCAGCCAUUGUUGUUUGAGCUUUCUUCUCCGGUUGCUCACUUUGGAGUGUGUUGAAUGGUGUGAAGGAUACUACUGGGUUUGAAGAUGGCCAUCCCCACAGAAUUAUAUCUCAACAAAAUUAGUUUUUUUCUGUGUGUGUGUAUAUAUAUGUAUACAUCUAUGAAU
RNAcentral lists this long non-coding RNA (221 nucleotides) under Physcomitrium patens. Its description in RNAcentral is "long non-coding RNA (PPAT_LNC002544)". Lineage: Eukaryota; Viridiplantae; Streptophyta; Bryopsida; Funariales; Funariaceae. The record is from RNAcentral.